RNAcentral lists this transfer RNA (88 nucleotides) under Campylobacteraceae bacterium. RNAcentral describes it as "tRNA-Ser". It matches the Rfam family "tRNA". Rfam says of the family: Transfer RNA (tRNA) molecules are approximately 80 nucleotides in length. Their secondary structure includes four short double-helical elements and three loops (D, anti-codon, and T loops). The record is from RNAcentral. Lineage: Bacteria; Pseudomonadati; Campylobacterota; Epsilonproteobacteria; Campylobacterales; Campylobacteraceae.
GGGCAGAUGUCCGAGUGGUUGAAGGAGCACGCCUGGAACGCGUGUGUGGGGCAACUCACCGUGGGUUCGAAUCCCACUCUGCCCGCCA